AGGCUUAACACAUGCAAGUCGAGGGGCAGCGCGGGGCGGCAACGUCCUGGCGGCGACCGGCGGAAGGGUGCGUAACGCGUGAGCGACAUGCCCGUUGCCCGGGGACAACCGGUGGAAACGCCGACUAAUCCCCGAUGGGACGGAGGCCCUCAUGGGUCUCUGUUGAAAGUUACGGCGGCGACGGAUUGGCUCGCGUCCGAUUAGCUAGUUGGCGGGGUAACGGCCCACCAAGGCUACGAUCGGUAGGGGUUCUGAGAGGAAGGUCCCCCACAAUGGAACUGAGACACGGUCCAUACUCC
Molecule: ribosomal RNA, 299 nt
Filed under: uncultured bacterium
Lineage: Bacteria
Description: partial 16S ribosomal RNA
Rfam family: Bacterial small subunit ribosomal RNA
Source: RNAcentral